RNAcentral lists this ribosomal RNA (253 nucleotides) under uncultured bacterium. Its description in RNAcentral is "partial 16S ribosomal RNA". It matches the Rfam family "Bacterial small subunit ribosomal RNA", at positions 524 to 776 of the family's 1533-position model. The record is from RNAcentral.
UACAGAGGUCUCAAGCGUUGUUCGGAUUCAUUGGGCGUAAAGGGUGCGUAGGCGGCGCGGUAAGUCGGGUGUGAAAUCUCGGAGCUUAACUCCGAAACUGCAUUCGAUACUGCCGUGCUUGAGGACUGGAGAGGAGACUGGAAUUUACGGUGUAGCGGUGAAAUGCGUAGAUAUCUGGAGGAAUACCGGUGGCGAAGGCGGCAUCCUGGACCGGCAUUGACGCUGAACAGCGAAAGCUAGGGGAGCAAACGGG